Salvia splendens (bonfire salvia) is the source of this 750-nucleotide long non-coding RNA. RefSeq lists it as uncharacterized. The record is from RefSeq and is a predicted model, not a curated record. NCBI's taxonomy places the organism in Eukaryota, Viridiplantae, Streptophyta, Magnoliopsida, Lamiales, Lamiaceae. The transcript has 2 exons.
UCUCUCCUCCCUCUAUCUUCUUCUCUCUCUGUUCUUUCUCUCUCUUUAUUUUUUUUUUCUUCCUCCCUCUUUUCAAUUCCCGUCGGCUUCUCCGAAUGCCCCUCGACACCGGCCGCCGUCGGUCGUCGUCCGCGUCCAGCCAAGCCAUCAAUACCGUGGCUGUCUUCCCCGGCGGAAAUCACCGCCGUUCCACACCGGGAACUGCAGCCGCCGUUCAUGAGCAGCCGCCGGUACUUGCUGGAGUCGCCGGUUUCCACCAAUUCGCCGCCCGUCAGCAGCCGCUGCUGCCGCGGAGAGGUCCAGCUGUCUGUCACCGCGUUGCUGCUGCCACGGGGAGGAGCCGCUGCUGUCACCGGACAGCACAGCACAGCUGCUGUCCCCGGCGCUCCGAACCACCCCGAUCAGCUCCGAAACGACCCCGAACCACCCCGAACUGCCCGCAAGAUAAGACCUUUAAUUGAAUGAGGAAGUUGGAAGAUCAUGGCAGAGUGGGAGUCGCAAGUUGGCGUUAGGGAAGGGAGAAGGAAGAAACUUGGGCUCAAAAUCUAUCUCCCAUAUUUUAAUUAAAUUGUUUGGGCUCAUUUAGUUGCAGAGCCCAAAUUUGUAUAAUUAUUUAUUUGUAAUAGCAUUUUUCUAUUUUCCAUGGCCCAAAGCCAUUUUUGUAAAUAACCAAUUGGGCUCUAAUUUAACUUGCAAAGCCCAAUAUAAAUUCAUACUUUAUAUUUUCGUAUUUUCCUUCGAUACUUAAAA